RNAcentral lists this ribosomal RNA (272 nucleotides) under uncultured bacterium. RNAcentral's name for it is "partial 16S ribosomal RNA". It matches the Rfam family "Bacterial small subunit ribosomal RNA", at positions 524 to 794 of the family's 1533-position model. The record is from RNAcentral.
UACGUAGGGUGCGAGCGUUGUCCGGAAUUAUUGGGCGUAAAGAGCUUGUAGGCGGUUUGUCGCGUCUGCUGUGAAAGACCGGGGCUUAACUCCGGUUCUGCAGUGGGUUACGGGCAGACUAGAGUGUGGUAGGGGAGACUGGAAUUCCUGGUGUAGCGGUGAAAUGCGCAGAUAUCAGGAGGAACACCGAUGGCGAAGGCAGGUCUCUGGGCCAUUACUGACGCUGAGAAGCGAAAGCAUGGGGAGCGAACAGGAUUAGAAACCCUUGUAGU